RNAcentral lists this ribosomal RNA (488 nucleotides) under uncultured bacterium. Its description in RNAcentral is "bacterial SSU rRNA". It matches the Rfam family "Bacterial small subunit ribosomal RNA", at positions 28 to 507 of the family's 1533-position model. The record is from RNAcentral.
GAUGAACGCUAGCGGGAGGCUUAACACAUGCAAGUCGAGGGGCAGCAUAGGGUAGCAAUACUCUGAUGGCGACCGGCAAACGGGUGAGUAACGCGUAUGCAACCUACCCUGUACAGGGGGAUAACCCGGAGAAAUUCGGACUAAUAUCCCGUAAUAAUAUCCGGAGGCAUCUUUGGAUAUUUAAAGUUUCGACGGUACGGGAUGGGCAUGCGUAACAUUAGCUGGUUGGUAAGGUAACGGCUUACCAAGGCUAUGAUGUUUAGGGGUCCUGAGAGGGUGGUCCCCCACACUGGUACUGAGACACGGACCAGACUCCUACGGGAGGCAGCAGUGAGGAAUAUUGGUCAAUGGGCGCAAGCCUGAACCAGCCAUCCCGCGUGCAGGAAGACGGCCCUAUGGGUUGUAAACUGCUUUUUCCAGGGAGAGAAACUUACGCACGUGUUGCGUGACUGACGGUACCCUGGGAAUAAGCAUCGGCUAACUCCGUG